This is a long non-coding RNA of Ornithodoros turicata, 281 nucleotides long. RefSeq lists it as uncharacterized. The transcript has 3 exons. NCBI's taxonomy places the organism in Eukaryota, Metazoa, Arthropoda, Arachnida, Ixodida, Argasidae. The record is from RefSeq and is a predicted model, not a curated record.
AGAAGACGUGGGUGGCUGUACCUCUGAAUGAGAGUGCUAGCUAUGGUUAUGCAUCAGCCUUGAUUGCUGAGGUGCUGACACGCAUUCAGGAGCGCAGAAGGGAGUCUGGAGCUGUGGCAACUCUGCCAACGCGGUCAUCAACAUAUGGUGAGACGCCAAGCCUUACAGAAGCAGUCGUGAAGCAUCAGGCAAGGUUCCAGAAAUGAGGCUCCCACCUGCAUCACACACUGAAGUUGAAACUAAGCUAAAAAAAGGCCCUUUUCAGGGCCACCACAAGGUUU